RNAcentral lists this ribosomal RNA (856 nucleotides) under Enterobacter sp. ME45. RNAcentral describes it as "bacterial SSU rRNA". It matches the Rfam family "Bacterial small subunit ribosomal RNA", at positions 45 to 890 of the family's 1533-position model. Lineage: Bacteria; Pseudomonadati; Pseudomonadota; Gammaproteobacteria; Enterobacterales; Enterobacteriaceae. The record is from RNAcentral.
GGCCUAACACAUGCAAGUCGAGCGGCAGCGGAGAGUACCUUGCUACUUUGCCGGCGAGCGGCGGACGGGUGAGUAAUGUCUGGGAAACUGCCUGAUGGAGGGGGAUAACUACUGGAAACGGUAGCUAAUACCGCAUAACGUCGCAAGACCAAAGAGGGGGACCUUCGGGCCUCUUGCCAUCAGAUGUGCCCAGAUGGGAUUAGCUAGUAGGUGGGGUAACGGCUCACCUAGGCGACGAUCCCUAGCUGGUCUGAGAGGAUGACCAGCCACACUGGAACUGAGACACGGUCCAGACUCCUACGGGAGGCAGCAGUGGGGAAUAUUGCACAGUGGGCGCAAGCCUGAUGCACCCAUGCCGCGUGUAUGAAGAAGGCCUUCGGGUUGUAAAGUACUUUCAGCGGGGAGGAAGGCGAUAAGGUUAAUAACCUUGUCGAUUGACGUUACCCGCAAAAGAAGCACCGGCUAACUCCGUGCCAGCAGCCGCGGUAAUACGGAGGGUGCAAGCGUUAAUCGGAAUUACUGGGCGUAAAGCGCACGCAGGCGGUCUGUCAAGUCAGAUGUGAAAUCCCCGGGCUCAACCUGGGAACUGCAUUCGAAACUGGCAGGCUAGAGUCUUGUAGAGGGGGGUAGAAUUCCAGGUGUAGCGGUGAAAUGCGUAGAGAUCUGGAGGAAUACCGGUGGCGAAGGCGGCCCCCUGGACAAAGACUGACGCUCAUGUGCGAAAGCGUGGGGAGCAAACAGGAUUAUAUACCCUGGUAGUCCACGCCGUACACGAUGUCGACUUGGAGGUUGUGCCCUUGAGGCGUGUCUUCCGGAGCUAACGCGUUAACUCGACCGCCUGGGGAGUACGGCCGCA